AAGGGAGACCUAAUUCAGGUAUGGGACGAAAAAAAAGUAGUCGCUACCAAGAAUCAAUCCCAAAAGGUCGGAGCGAGGCGAAAUUGGCUUUCAAACUAGGUUCUGGGUUCACACAAGACCUGAAUCAGGAACAAGGGCUAUUAGCUCAGGUGGUUAGAGCGCACCCCUGAUAAGGGUGAGGUCCCUGGUUCGAGUCCAGGAUGGCCCACCUGCACAGGUGGCAAAAACAAAGAAAAAAAGCUCCGAAUCAGCACCUUAUCUUACCUAUACAGUAAGAGAGAAUGCUGGCUCUGAGUUCAGAGUUCAGAGGAACCUUGAAAACUGCAUAGAGCUAGGUGAAAAAGCCAAAAAAGAAGACCGCAA
This 363-nucleotide transfer RNA is filed under the name uncultured Microcystis sp. Its description in RNAcentral is "partial miscellaneous RNA". The stretch from base 135 to 208 matches the Rfam family "tRNA". The record is from RNAcentral. Lineage: Bacteria; Bacillati; Cyanobacteriota; Cyanophyceae; Chroococcales; Microcystaceae.